This 253-nucleotide ribosomal RNA is filed under the name uncultured bacterium. RNAcentral's name for it is "partial 16S ribosomal RNA". It matches the Rfam family "Bacterial small subunit ribosomal RNA", at positions 524 to 776 of the family's 1533-position model. The record is from RNAcentral.
GACAGAGGGUGCAAACGUUGUUCGGAAUCAUUGGGCGUAAAGGGCGCGUAGGCGGCGCGGUUGGUCAGGCGUGAAAUCCCCGGGCUCAACCCAGGGACUGCGCUUGAUACGGCCGGGCUGGAGGAUGGAAGAGGGCCGCGGAAUUCCCAGUGUAGAGGUGAAAUUCGUAGAUAUUGGGAAGAACACCGGUGGCGAAGGCGGCGGCCUGGUCCAUUUCUGACGCUGAGGCGCGACAGCGUGGGGAGCAAACAGG